GUCCACGCCCUAAACGAUGUCAACUGGUUGUUGGGAAUUCAUUUUCUCAGUAACGAAGCUAACGCGUGAAGUUGACCGCCUGGGGAGUACGGCCGCAAGGCUAAAACUCAAAGGAAUUGACGGGGACCCGCACAAGCGGUGGAUGAUGUGGUUUAAUUCGAUGCAACGCGAAAACCUUACCCACCUUUGACAUGUACGGAAGUCGCUAGAGAUAGCUUCGUGCUCGAAAGAGAGCCGUAACACAGGUGCUGCAUGGCUGUCGU
This 263-nucleotide ribosomal RNA is filed under the name uncultured bacterium. RNAcentral's name for it is "partial 16S ribosomal RNA". It matches the Rfam family "Bacterial small subunit ribosomal RNA", at positions 793 to 1055 of the family's 1533-position model. The record is from RNAcentral.